RNAcentral lists this transfer RNA (111 nucleotides) under Anisakis simplex (herring worm). It matches the Rfam family "tRNA". Rfam says of the family: Transfer RNA (tRNA) molecules are approximately 80 nucleotides in length. Their secondary structure includes four short double-helical elements and three loops (D, anti-codon, and T loops). The record is from Rfam by way of RNAcentral. Lineage: Eukaryota; Metazoa; Nematoda; Chromadorea; Rhabditida; Anisakidae.
GUCCGUCUGGCCGAGUGGUCUAAGGCGCUGCGUUCAGGUCGCAGUCUACUUCGGUAGGCGCAGGUUCGCNGUCUACUUCGGUAGGCGCAGGUUCGAAUCCUGCGGCGGACA